CGGCUCAUUUACAGCCCUAACAGGAGGGAUAGCCUGGUGCUUCUGCUUCACCAGAGGCCUUCUUACUUCCCCAUCCUUCCUUUCCGACUUCCCCGAUCCGCCCACAUUCUCCGUCAUCCCUCGCCACCCAUUCAGCGAUGCCCUCCCCAGGCGCUGACACCGUUCUUCCUUCCGGCUUCCCACAUUUUUUAAAAGUCUAGGAGAGUUAUCGAUUUUGGGAUCGAGGAGGUAGAACGUUAUAUGUAUAUGUGUAUAUAUACUUUUCGAGAUCUCGUUUCUAUGUUGAAUUAAGUAGCAUAUGUGGUUAGACGUUUGAUGAUUUCAUCGAUUUGGAGGCAGUGUUCCGUCUUACAAGCAUAACAUAAUUCCACUCUUUAAUGCUAAGAAAACACUGGAGUUCACAUUUCUUGUUGGUCUCUUUACCUUUCAAGCGUCUCAGAACGUAAUUUCUGGAACAGAAUUAGCUGGAGUUCAGACGAAUGAUUUAGGAGAUCCGGGUGAUAUCAAUACAAGAUUUGCAUCAGUACGACAUAUUCGUUUGUUCUUUUAAUAUCAAAUAUCAAUUUCUUGGGCUUGAGGUAAUUCCAGUACCACUUCUCAGUCAAUCCAAAACAUUUGGUUGAAUCAACCUUAAAGUAAUGCUUUUACCCACUAUCCCGAAGGACCUAUCUAGAUUCUAGUUUGACACCAGCUUCUUCUGCUAUAGUGUCACUUGUUUCUCCAGUUCUUAAGAUCAAUCUAUGGGUGUUAACUCAUGAAAUGUAUAAUCAAGUUCCCCAUGAUACAAUGCUGAUUGUUAUAGACUUCUUUAUUCAACGAGGUUCUCUUUCUUCUGUUAUUUCAAUCUAUGCUCUUCUCUUUUGGUGGUCUUGUGGCAUCAUUUGAUUUCAUUUACCGUAUCAAUUAGCAACCUCAUCUGUGUUAGGAUACUGGCGGCUUCCUACAAAUACCCAAACAUCUGGUACUCUUUUUUUUCAUAAUCAAUAUCUAACGUAGUGUCUUUUUCUCUUGUUUUGCUCAUAUUCCUUAUUUUGUUCUUUACUUUUCAGAUCUAGUUGUUUCAUAGUUAACCCAUUUAGUAAAUCUCUGAUUCCUCGAAUAUCCUUGCAUUUCUAUCUUGCUCAAUCCACAUAAUAUUUUAGUAUCAUUAUAAUUUUGCUCGGUGACUAAACUGUCAUUAUACAGUUUAAUGCCUGAUCAUCUGCUACUGAAAACUUCAAUAUGCACAGCCAAUCUUCUCUUAGGCAUUACUAUCAGGAAGAAUUUAUUUGACUUUAAGAAAUGAUCCUUCAUGUGCAUUUUGAGGUACUAUGUUUAUACACCCUGAUGCUUUUUAUUAUUCUUAUGGUGUUGUUAUAUAGUCGACUAUUCUUAAACCAUUGUCCAAUGUGGUCAAUUGAUCUGCCUUUCAAAUUUCAAAUCAGGCAGAAUUAGCAAUUUCAUAAUUUUCAGGAGAUAGUGCAGGAAAUAUAGCCGCAGCCAGUACUGUUCUCAGCACAUUCAUCUUAGUUUUUGUUGCUGAAUGGGGUGAUGUGUCAUUUUUCUCCACAAUAGCACUUGCUACAGCUUCUUCGCCUUUGGGCGUCAUAGGAGGUGCACUUGCUGGCCAUGCUUUUGCAACUUUGGAUUGAAGCAGAGUUAUUGUUGAUUAUUUCAACCUACAGUGCACCUCAUCAUUUUUGCGAUUUCUAAAAUUCUACAUAGCCAGAGGUUUCUGGCCAUUUUUAUUUGAUACACCAUAUUUGUUGAUUCUACUUUGUGCUAUAACUCAUGAAACUUGCCUUUUAGUACUCGAUGUGAUUUGGAAACUCCUGCACUUUUAUUAUUUUUGCAUGGCUAUGGUACCUGAUGCAGCGAUUGAGCUGGGCUUCAGAGUUGGAUUAAACUCAAGAAGAUUGGAUGAUAACGCCGUCAAAGUUAAAGAAGUGUCAACCUUUGAAGCUAGCAUAGAUGAUGACUUCCAUCAAGAGAUAGCCGAUCGGGCUAUCAAGCCAAUCAGACUGAAGGUCCGAUUAGAUGCCCAUUCACAUGAUGUUCAUGGAGCUUUGAGCUAACUCAGUAUUCCGCUGAGUCAGCUGUAUCCCUGAUUCAUAAAUAGCACAGUGAAUCAGCGCGAUUGAGUAGUCUAGCCGAUCUGGCCAUAUAAUCGCACUCAGUCUGUUUACGUCCGAUCAGACCAGCUAGGCACUCAGUCUAUUUAAGUUUUCCAACUCAACUGAAGAAGUCGAGUGAAGGCUAAGUCGUCGGCCGCAUUCAUAAAAGCUGACCGGGUACCCCUCGAGAGGAAUGGUCGGUCGAAGUAUUCUAGUGAUUCGGUUGGUUGGCUAAAGUAGACUAUUAUAGGCCUAUAGCCCAUCAGCCUCGUAUUCCUUUUUGACAUUUUAUAUCACAGAGAACAGAGAAUAUUCUAUAUAUAAUCUGCAUAUUUGAAGCUUCUACCCUAUUAAUUGUAGAGAUUUUGGAAAAGGUGUUAGAGCCUCUUUAUGAUCUAACUUUUUUGGAAAAUGCUUUGAGAUUCAUGCAAAGGCACCACGAGGUAUUAUAAAAAGGGGUCUCUGUUGGAACCCCAAGG
Molecule: long non-coding RNA, 2572 nt
Organism: Zingiber officinale
Lineage: Eukaryota; Viridiplantae; Streptophyta; Magnoliopsida; Zingiberales; Zingiberaceae
Exons: 3
Source: RefSeq, a predicted model, not a curated record